CCGCGUGCAGGAAGACGGUCCUAUGGAUUGUAAACUGCUUUUGUACGGGAAGAACAAGGAGUACGUGUACUCCUCUGACGGUACCGUAAGAAUAAGGAUCGGCUAACUCCGUGCCAGCAGCCGCGGUAAUACGGAGGAUCCGAGCGUUAUCCGGAAUUAUUGGGUUUAAAGGGUCCGUAGGCGGGCCAUUAAGUCAGGGGUGAAAGUCUGCGGCUCAACCGUAGAAUUGCCUUUGAUACUGGUGGUCUUGAGUUAUGGUGAAGUGGCUAGAAUAUGUAGUGUAGCGGUGAAAUGCAUAGAUAUUACAUAGAAUACCGAUUGCGAAGGCAGGCCACUAACCAUGUACUGACGCUGAUGGACGAAAGCGUGGGUAGCGAACAGGAUUAGAUACCCUGGUAGUCCACGCCGUAAACGAUGGAUACUAGCUGUCCGUGUGCUUCAGGCAUAUGGGCGGCCAAGCGAAAGUGAUAAGUAUCCCACCUGGGGAGUACGGCCGCAAGGCUG
RNAcentral lists this ribosomal RNA (504 nucleotides) under uncultured Bacteroidota bacterium. Its description in RNAcentral is "bacterial SSU rRNA". It matches the Rfam family "Bacterial small subunit ribosomal RNA", at positions 397 to 896 of the family's 1533-position model. Lineage: Bacteria; Pseudomonadati; Bacteroidota. The record is from RNAcentral.